Molecule: transfer RNA, 70 nt
Filed under: Ictidomys tridecemlineatus (thirteen-lined ground squirrel)
Lineage: Eukaryota; Metazoa; Chordata; Mammalia; Rodentia; Sciuridae
Description: Spermophilus tridecemlineatus (thirteen-lined ground squirrel) tRNA
Rfam family: tRNA
About the family: Transfer RNA (tRNA) molecules are approximately 80 nucleotides in length.
Source: Rfam by way of RNAcentral
GGGGCUGUAGCUCAGUGGUAGAGUGCUCACCUAGCAUGUGAGAGGGCCUAGGUUUUUUUCCUCAGCACCA